This 539-nucleotide ribosomal RNA is filed under the name Dunaliella tertiolecta. RNAcentral's name for it is "partial Bacterial large subunit ribosomal RNA". It matches the Rfam family "Bacterial large subunit ribosomal RNA", at positions 1649 to 2104 of the family's 2925-position model. The record is from RNAcentral. Lineage: Eukaryota; Viridiplantae; Chlorophyta; Chlorophyceae; Chlamydomonadales; Dunaliellaceae.
UUCCGACACAGGUGAAUUAGAGUUAUGUUCUAAGGCUAAAUAGAAAUAACCAGGUUGAAGGAACUCGGCAAAAUGCUUACGUGCUUAUCGACAAGUAAGGACUAUAAAUGUUACAAUAUAAUUGAAGGCAACGACUGUUUAAUCAAAACACAAGACUCUGCUUAAUGUAAAACGUAUUAUUAUAAGACAGCCCGACGCAGUCGGCAAGCCUCCGACGCAGUCGGCAAGCCUGCGCCAAUUAAAUUGGCGCCCAAUUACAUUGGCGCUGGGCGCCAAUGAAUUUGGCGCUGGCGCGUCUUUUUGGGUUAUAAUAAUAUUCGUAUGUAAAGAGUCUGACAUCUGCCCAAGGACUAAGGUAAACGGCUGCUGUAACUAUAACGGUACUAAGGUAGCAAAAUCCAUUGACGUUUAAUUGAUGUCGCGCAUGAAUGAUGUAACGAUUGUCUUGCUGUCUCCAACCUGGAUUCUGUGAAAUUGAAUUGCCCGUGCAGAUGCGGGAUACGUGUUAGAGGGACGAUAAGACCCCGCAGCACCUUAAC